Molecule: ribosomal RNA, 194 nt
Filed under: uncultured bacterium
Lineage: Bacteria
Description: partial 16S ribosomal RNA
Rfam family: Bacterial small subunit ribosomal RNA
Source: RNAcentral
CGCGGCGGGCGGGGCGGGGGCACGGGGGGCCUACGGGAGGCAGCAGUGGGGAAUAUUGGACAAUGGGCGAAAGCCUGAUCCAGCCAUGCCGCGUGAGUGAUGAAGGCCCUAGGGUUGUAAAGCUCUUUCAGCGGGGAAGAUAAUGACGGUACCCGCAGAAGAAGCCCCGGCUAACUUCGUGCCAGCACCCGCGG